RNAcentral lists this ribosomal RNA (1334 nucleotides) under Microbacterium sp. RNAcentral's name for it is "bacterial SSU rRNA". It matches the Rfam family "Bacterial small subunit ribosomal RNA", at positions 75 to 1421 of the family's 1533-position model. The record is from RNAcentral. Lineage: Bacteria; Bacillati; Actinomycetota; Actinomycetes; Micrococcales; Microbacteriaceae.
CCAGCUUGCUUGGUGGAUCAGUGGCGAACGGGUGAGUAACACGUGAGCAACCUGCCCUGGACUCUGGGAUAAGCGCUGGAAACGGCGUCUAAUACUGGAUAUGAGACGUGAUCGCAUGGUCGUGUUUGGAAAGAUUUUUUGGUCUGGGAUGGGCUCGCGGCCUAUCAGCUUGUUGGUGAGGUAAUGGCUCACCAAGGCGUCGACGGGUAGCCGGCCUGAGAGGGUGACCGGCCACACUGGGACUGAGACACGGCCCAGACUCCUACGGGAGGCAGCAGUGGGGAAUAUUGCACAAUGGGCGGAAGCCUGAUGCAGCAACGCCGCGUGAGGGAUGACGGCCUUCGGGUUGUAAACCUCUUUUAGCAGGGAAGAAGCGUAAGUGACGGUACCUGCAGAAAAAGCGCCGGCUAACUACGUGCCAGCAGCCGCGGUAAUACGUAGGGCGCAAGCGUUAUCCGGAAUUAUUGGGCGUAAAGAGCUCGUAGGCGGUUUGUCGCGUCUGCUGUGAAAUCCCGAGGCUCAACCUCGGGCCUGCAGUGGGUACGGGCAGACUAGAGUGCGGUAGGGGAGAUUGGAAUUCCUGGUGUAGCGGUGGAAUGCGCAGAUAUCAGGAGGAACACCGAUGGCGAANGCAGAUCUCUGGGCCGUAACUGACGCUGANGAGCGAAAGGGUGGGGAGCAAACAGGCUUAGAUACCCUGGUAGUCCACCCCGUAAACGUUGGGAACUAGUUGUGGGGACCAUUCCACGGUUUCCGUGACGCAGCUAACGCAUUAAGUUCCCCGCCUGGGGAGUACGGCCGCAAGGCUAAAACUCAAAGGAAUUGACGGGGACCCGCACAAGCGGCGGAGCAUGCGGAUUAAUUCGAUGCAACGCGAAGAACCUUACCAAGGCUUGACAUAUACGAGAACGGGCCAGAAAUGGUCAACUCUUUGGACACUCGUAAACAGGUGGUGCAUGGUUGUCGUCAGCUCGUGUCGUGAGAUGUUGGGUUAAGUCCCGCAACGAGCGCAACCCUCGUUCUAUGUUGCCAGCACGUAAUGGUGGGAACUCAUGGGAUACUGCCGGGGUCAACUCGGAGGAAGGUGGGGAUGACGUCAAAUCAUCAUGCCCCUUAUGUCUUGGGCUUCACGCAUGCUACAAUGGCCGGUACAAAGGGCUGCAAUACCGUGAGGUGGAGCGAAUCCCAAAAAGCCGGUCCCAGUUCGGAUUGAGGUCUGCAACUCGACCUCAUGAAGUCGGAGUCGCUAGUAAUCGCAGAUCAGCAACGCUGCGGUGAAUACGUUCCCGGGUCUUGUACACACCGCCCGUCAAGUCAUGAAAGUCGGUAACACC